UGGGGAAUAUUGCACAAUGGGGGAAACCCUGAUGCAGCGACGCCGCGUGAGCGAAGAAGUAUUUCGGUAUGUAAAGCUCUAUCAGCAGGGAAGAAAUGAACGGUAGCCUGACUAAGAAAGCCCCAGGCCUGAACUAACGUGCCAGCCAGCCGCGGGUAAUACGUAGGGGGCAAGCGUUAUCCGGAUUUACUGGGUGUAAAGGGAGCGCAGGCGGUCUUGCAAGUCUGAUGUGAAAGCCCGCGGCUCAACUGCGGGACUGCAUUGGAAACUGUGGGACUUGAGUGUCGGAGGGGCAAGUGGAAUUCCUAGUGUAGCGGUGAAAUGCGUAGAUAUUAGGAGGAACACCAGUGGCGAAGGCGGCUUACUGGACGGUAACUGACGUUGAGGCUCGAAAGCGUGGGGAGCAAACAGGAUUAGAUACC
This 422-nucleotide ribosomal RNA is filed under the name uncultured bacterium. RNAcentral's name for it is "bacterial SSU rRNA". It matches the Rfam family "Bacterial small subunit ribosomal RNA", at positions 355 to 786 of the family's 1533-position model. The record is from RNAcentral.